RNAcentral lists this long non-coding RNA (1875 nucleotides) under Anas platyrhynchos (mallard). RNAcentral describes it as "lncRNA (ENSAPLG00020018377.1)". The record is from RNAcentral. Lineage: Eukaryota; Metazoa; Chordata; Aves; Anseriformes; Anatidae.
GGAAAUGGCCUGCAUAUUUUGAAGAAUACUGACAGUGGAGGGAUCUACACUCACCUGCAGCCCAAGCGUGAUGGUUCCAAGCUGUCCUACCAGCUUUUCUGAAGGACCUCGCCUCUUACCGGGUUCCUGCCCUGCCACCUGCAGCAGCUCUGGACCCACAGCACUUCUGGCAGGAGUAGCACAACUUGACUUCUUUCCAUGGAUCUCUGCAACUCACGUGCGAUGGGACACUUGCAAGAGUCAGUUGAUAUCUCUGUUGUGUUUUAAUACAUUGUUUUUUCAUCCAGCUGGUCUCCAGCUUUCCUUCCCCAUAUUUCACGUGAUGUUAACGUCACAAGAAGAUGCAGGAGGUUUGUGGAUCUCCUAGCCCAUGCACUGGAGGUGCUGUGUGGCCUCUGUACACGCAGAGCUGACUCAAUGGCCAGCCUGUCUCUCUCCAGGGAUUGAUUCACUCGGUCAAAGAAGCUCUGUCGCCUGAAAGGACCCAAAGCACUGCUUCCCAGGGAACGGCUCCUUCGGGAAGGCUGGAUUAGAGCUUCUGCCUCUCUGGACUCAAAAAGGCCUUUUAGAUAAAUUAAAGCAGGGCAUAUGAAGUUAUAGGUAACUUAUAAAAGAAAGCAGAUAAUAGAGAAAAAAAAGCCUUUUAACAGUAAAAUAUGUUCAAGCAAGACUUUUAUAACUAAGUAUCAACAUUUUCCUCUGAUGGAGUGAGACAUUUCUUAGUCUCCCCAGAUCAGGUCCCAGUGUUCAAAAAACAAGCUUACCUUUGCCAUCAACCAAGAUUUUUUUUUUUAAAGAUCACUUUAACACAAGACCAUUGAGUACACUUACAGCUACUCAGUUUAAGGUUUGUUUAUGUGGCGUUUUGCAAACAGACACGAGCAUCUUCUGCCAGUGCUCUGAGACACCAACACUGAUAUGUUUCUUUACACUGCAAAGCCUAAGCUCUAAAUCCUGCUGAGACAGGAGAAAAUAGCUUGGGUACAAAAUUGUGCUAACGCAGUUACCUAGCUUUUGGGUGACUGAGAACAUGAGCAGAGUUUGCUUGCACCUUCCUGCUAAGGACAGCAUGGACUUGAGCAGCACUUACUGCAUGGAACUGAUGGUGGAACGCCCCCUGGGAGGACACGUGCCUUUCUGUGACUCACUCCCUCUAACAGCACUGUCACAGAGCACUACAGAAGCUGUAAUACUUGGAGAAAGCUUUGGGCUUACAGAAUCCUUACUGAAAUGCUUACAUUUGUCACAAAGCUGGCUUAAAUGAGGAUGGCACCAGCUUCAUUAAAAGCAUGAUCCAAACCAUUUUGAGUGACAGGGGAACAGAAGUUUAAUCAAUGACAUUAUAAAGUAAUUACUUAAUAAGAGGAGGAGUGUUUCCUGCUUGAACAGUCCUGGUGAAAUCACUGUUAUCUGUAGUCAUAGCUAACAUUACAGACGAAUUUUUAAAGUAUUUUAAAGGUAUUCAUAAAAAUAUGUAAGACUUCCAUCUUGAGAGAAAGACGAACAGCUUCUCAACCCAAGCUGCCACUACCAGCUACAGUACCUGCAUUAUGCUGGCUGUACGCAGCACGGCAUUACGACAUUCUCUUUCGAUGCAUCAAGAACUAUGGCCAUAGAACAUGCUGGCCCACUGCAAUGAUUUUUUUUUUUAGCCAUUUUUAUAUUUGGAUAAAACAGCUACAGAUUUCAGUACCGUGUCUGUGUUUAAAAUGAGCGUCAGUUUCAGGCAUCCUGCUGUCUGCUGCCUGCUUCUUCCUCACGGACUGCCUCCGAUAGCCAGCUGUCCUGUGCUGACAGCAGCAUCAACCAUAGUAACGUGAGCUGGCUCCCUCUGGGGACUCUAGACACAAGGAGAAAUGCAAUCUGUAAUCCAGG